GGGAGAAGAGCCCCAGAUCCUCUGUCUCUGUGCUCUCCCUUCCUGCCCACAGAACUGUCCUCAUAAGACCCACCAUGCAGUCUGUCCUCAGUCUGCUUUCCAUCCUGACCCUGCUCCAAGGUGUGCAGGGUGAUGUCCAGCUGGUGGAGUCCGGAGGAGACUUGAGACAGCCUGGCGGGUCUCUGAGCCUCUCCUGUAAAGCCUCUGGAUUAACCAGCAGCUACUACUACAUGCACUGGGUUCGCCAGGCUCCAGGGAAGGGGCUCGAGUGGGUCGCUAUGGUUGAUGAGGAUGGUAGUAGCACUAACUAUGCGGACUCUGUGAAAGGCCGAUUCACCAUCUCCUGGAACAAGGCCAGCAGCCUCCUGAGUUUGCAAAUGAACAGCCUGAAAACCGGGGACACGGCCCUCUAUUACUGUGCUACAGGCACAGUGAGAGAAACCACAUUCUGUGCCUGUCAGAAACCCUGGGAGGAUUCCUGGGCUGCAGGUGGCUGGGGAAGCAGAGCAGCAGAGACCACAGACAAUAGCCCUGGCCUCUAAGACCAAUCAUUAAUUCUAUUAAGGUUGUUAACAAUUCCAAAACAAGCCCUAGCACCAAAUCCCAUUGGUAUGUAAAAUUAAAUGGGAACCAGAGCUUGAUUUUUUCUACAUCUAAUGAAUAUCUAAGAAAAUCCCUUCAAGGCAGCUGGACAAGUGGCAGUGCAAUUCAGUUGAAAUAUAAACUCAAUGGAAUCUAUCCUGAAUUGUGUUUCAGGAUUUAUAGUUUAGUUUACAAUGUUCGCAAUUAUGUCAGUAAACCUAAUGUUUGUUGAAAUGUGAUCCCACUAUACUCAGGCAACAAACCAACACAGUCUUCCAGACACCCACACAAGCUCUGGUGCAGGGAAGGAGAUACAGAUGGAGAGAAGCAGGAAGCAAAGGAAGGGCCACAGGUCUCGGCUGAUGCCUCCGGAUAGUAUAUGCAUUCAUAGGUUAUAAACACACAAGAACAACCUUUAAGCAUGAUAGAUAAAAAGCCUGCUUACUCAGUCCAGAAAAGUGUCAAAAGCAGAAACUAAAAAUAGUAAGAAUAGUUGGUUCAAAGAAUUAAAGCAAAUACUAGAAUAAAAUAUAACCUUUCCCUACUCUGUGACUCGCUCAUAAUGUAGCCAUGGUUCCCAACUUCC
Ornithorhynchus anatinus (platypus) is the source of this 1168-nucleotide non-coding RNA. The record is from the annotation of a RefSeq genome assembly. NCBI's taxonomy places the organism in Eukaryota, Metazoa, Chordata, Mammalia, Monotremata, Ornithorhynchidae.